Molecule: non-coding RNA, 84 nt
Organism: Xenopus laevis (African clawed frog)
Lineage: Eukaryota; Metazoa; Chordata; Amphibia; Anura; Pipidae
Source: the annotation of a RefSeq genome assembly
GUAGUCGUGGCCGAGUGGUUAAGGCGAUGGACUGGAAAUUCCAUUGGUGUCUCCCCGCGCAGGUUCGAAUCCCUGCCGACUACG